RNAcentral lists this ribosomal RNA (253 nucleotides) under uncultured bacterium. RNAcentral describes it as "partial 16S ribosomal RNA". It matches the Rfam family "Bacterial small subunit ribosomal RNA", at positions 524 to 776 of the family's 1533-position model. The record is from RNAcentral.
UACAGAGGUCCCAAGCGUUGUUCGGAUUCACUGGGCGUAAAGGGUGCGUAGGCGGUCGGGUAAGUCUGAUGUGAAAUCUCACAGCUUAACUGUGAAACUGCAUUGGAUACUAUCCGGCUCGAGGAAUGGAGGGGAGACUGGAAUACUUGGUGUAGCAGUGAAGUGCGUAGAUAUCAAGUGGAACACCAGUGGCGAAGGCGAGUCUCUAGACAUUUCCUGACGCUGAGGCACGAAAGCCAGGGGAGCAAACGGG